AUUGAACGCUGGCGGCAGGCCUAACACAUGCAAGUCGAGCGAGCGGCGGACGGGUGAGUAAUGUGUGGGAAACUGCCUGAUGGAGGGGGAUAACUACUGGAAACGGUAGAUAAUACCGCAUAUGAUCAGAUGUGCCCAGAGGGGAUUAGCUAGUGGGUGGGGGAAUGGCUCACCUAGGCGACGAGCCCUAGCUGGUCUGAGAGGAUGACCAGCCACACUGGAACUGAGACACGGUCCAGACUCCUACGGGAGGCAGCAGUGGGGAAUAUUGCACAAUGGGCGCAAGCCUGAUGCAGCCAUGCCGCGUGUAUGAAGAAGGCCUUCGGGUUGUAAAGCACUUUCAGCGGGGAGGCGUUACCCGCAGAAGAAGCACCGGCUAACUCCGUGCCAGCAGCCGCGGUAAUAC
Molecule: ribosomal RNA, 406 nt
Filed under: uncultured bacterium
Lineage: Bacteria
Description: partial 16S ribosomal RNA
Rfam family: Bacterial small subunit ribosomal RNA
Source: RNAcentral